UGGGGAAUAUUGCACAAUGGGCGCAAGCCUGAUGCAGCCAUGCCGCGUGUAUGAAGAAGGCCUUCGGGUUGUAAAGUACUUUCAGCGGGGAGGAAGGCGUUGUGGUUAAUAACCACAGCGAUUGACGUUACCCGCAGAAGAAGCACCGGCUAACUCCGUGCCAGCAGCCGCGGUAAUACGGAGGGUGCAAGCGUUAAUCGGAAUUACUGGGCGUAAAGCGCACGCAGGCGGUCUGUCAAGUCGGAUGUGAAAUCCCCGGGCUCAACCUGGGAACUGCAUUCGAAACUGGCAGGCUAGAGUAUUGUAGAGGGGGGUAGAAUUCCAGGUGUAGCGGUGAAAUGCGUAGAGAUCUGGAGGAAUACCGGUGGCGAAGGCGGCCCCCUGGACAAAGACUGACGCUCAGGUGCGAAAGCGUGGGGAGCAAACAG
This 428-nucleotide ribosomal RNA is filed under the name uncultured bacterium. Its description in RNAcentral is "bacterial SSU rRNA". It matches the Rfam family "Bacterial small subunit ribosomal RNA", at positions 355 to 775 of the family's 1533-position model. The record is from RNAcentral.